Molecule: ribosomal RNA, 643 nt
Filed under: uncultured Bacillus sp.
Lineage: Bacteria; Bacillati; Bacillota; Bacilli; Caryophanales; Bacillaceae
Description: bacterial SSU rRNA
Rfam family: Bacterial small subunit ribosomal RNA
Source: RNAcentral
CGCGGCCUAUCAGCUUGUUGGUGAGGUAAUGGCUCACCAAGGCGUCGACGGGUAGCCGGCCUGAGAGGGUGACCGGCCACACUGGGACUGAGACACGGCCCAGACUCCUACGGGAGGCAGCAGUGGGGAAUAUUGCACAAUGGGCGCAAGCCUGAUGCAGCAACGCCGCGUGAGGGAUGACGGCCCUCGGGUUGUAAACCUCUUUUAGCAGGGAAGAAGCGAAAGUGACGGUACCUGCAGAAAAAGCGCCGGCUAACUACGUGCCAGCAGCCGCGGUAAUACGUAGGGCGCAAGCGUUAUCCGGAAUUAUUGGGCGUAAAGAGCUCGUAGGCGGUUUGUCGCGUCUGCUGUGAAAUCCGGAGGCUCAACCUCCGGCUUGCAGUGGGUACGGGCAGACUAGAGUGCGGUAGGGGAGAUUGGAAUUCCUGGUGUAGCGGUGGAAUGCGCAGAUAUCAGGAGGAACACCGAUGGCGAAGGCAGAUCUCUGGGCCGUAACUGACGCUGAGGAGCGAAAGGGUGGGGAGCAAACAGGCUUAGAUACCCUGGUAGUCCACCCCGUAAACGUUGGGAACUAGUUGUGGGGUCCAUUCCACGGAUUCCGUGACGCAGCUAACGCAUUAAGUUCCCCGCCUGGGGAGUACGG